GCACUCGUAGUCUAACUGGAUAAAACUUCGGCCUCCGACGCCGAUGUUGUGAGUUCGAGCCUCGCCGGGUGCACCA
RNAcentral lists this transfer RNA (76 nucleotides) under Clostridia bacterium. RNAcentral's name for it is "tRNA-Arg". It matches the Rfam family "tRNA". From Rfam's summary of the family: Transfer RNA (tRNA) molecules are approximately 80 nucleotides in length. Their secondary structure includes four short double-helical elements and three loops (D, anti-codon, and T loops). Further hydrogen bonds mediate the characteristic L-shaped molecular structure. tRNAs have two regions of fundamental functional importance: the anti-codon, which is responsible for specific mRNA codon recognition, and the 3' end, to which the tRNAs corresponding amino acid is attached (by aminoacyl-tRNA synthetases). tRNAs cope with the degeneracy of the genetic code in two manners: having more than one tRNA (with a specific anti-codon) for a particular amino acid; and 'wobble' base-pairing, i.e. permitting non-standard base-pairing at the 3rd anti-codon position. Lineage: Bacteria; Bacillati; Bacillota; Clostridia. The record is from RNAcentral.